GAAGCAUCGAUGAUGAGUUAAUCCAAAAUGUUAUCCUUGCACUAUGAUUUUUCCCGUGAAGAAAAAAAUUGGGGAAGGUUUUAUUCUCUGAGAUGCUG
Eucalyptus grandis is the source of this 98-nucleotide non-coding RNA. Lineage: Eukaryota; Viridiplantae; Streptophyta; Magnoliopsida; Myrtales; Myrtaceae. The record is from Rfam.